This 606-nucleotide ribosomal RNA is filed under the name Nocardia cerradoensis. Its description in RNAcentral is "bacterial SSU rRNA". It matches the Rfam family "Bacterial small subunit ribosomal RNA", at positions 46 to 669 of the family's 1533-position model. Lineage: Bacteria; Bacillati; Actinomycetota; Actinomycetes; Mycobacteriales; Nocardiaceae. The record is from RNAcentral.
GCUUAACACAUGCAAGUCGAGCGGUAAGGCCCUUCGGGGUACACGAGCGGCGAACGGGUGAGUAACACGUGGGUGAUCUGCCUCGCACUCUGGGAUAAGCCUGGGAAACUGGGUCUAAUACCGGAUAUGACCACUAAUCGCAUGGUUGGUGGUGGAAAGAUUUAUCGGUGCGAGAUGGGCCCGCGGCCUAUCAGCUUGUUGGUGGGGUAAUGGCCUACCAAGGCGACGACGGGUAGCCGGCCUGAGAGGGCGACCGGCCACACUGGGACUGAGACACGGCCCAGACUCCUACGGGAGGCAGCAGUGGGGAAUAUUGCACAAUGGGCGGAAGCCUGAUGCAGCGACGCCGCGUGAGGGAUGACGGCCUUCGGGUUGUAAACCUCUUUCGACAGGGACGAAGCGCAAGUGACGGUACCUGUAGAAGAAGCACCGGCCAACUACGUGCCAGCAGCCGCGGUAAUACGUAGGGUGCGAGCGUUGUCCGGAAUUACUGGGCGUAAAGAGCUUGUAGGCGGUUCGUCGCGUCGAUCGUGAAAACGUGCAGCUCAACUGCACGCUUGCGGUCGAUACGGGCGGACUAGAGUACUGCAGGGGAGACUGGAAUUC